UCAGGAACUAAAAAUCUUAUAAUUCCUGCCCCUAUGAGGUGUAACCUGUGCAUGGAAGCUUUCACAUAAAUUGUGAUGAAGACAUUCUACCAGUUACCUUCCAGGUUGAUUUUAGAAGACACUACAUACAAUACACAUUCAAGAUAAUCGAUUCUUUAAGAAAAAUAAAAAAUGUCUAGAAAAUGUGUGUUAUCAUCUAUUAUAAUACUAGCUACCACUCUGCAAGUAAUGUCAUACAGUGUAAUACUUUCUCCAGAAUAUUACUGUCGAUGUUGGUAUUCAUUCAGUUACAUUUACC
This 298-nucleotide unclassified non-coding RNA is filed under the name Anneissia japonica. Its description in RNAcentral is "uncharacterized LOC117123146, transcript variant X2". The record is from RNAcentral. Lineage: Eukaryota; Metazoa; Echinodermata; Crinoidea; Comatulida; Comatulidae.